AACGAACGCUGGCGGCAGGCCUAACACAUGCAAGUCGAGCGCGCCCUUCGGGGUGAGCGGCGGACGGGUGAGUAACACGUGAGCAACCUACCUUUAAGAGAGGGAUAGCUUCUGGAAACGGAUGGUAAUACCUUAUAAAAUAUUUGUAUGGCAUCAUAUAAAUAUCAAAGAUUAAUCACUUAAAGAUGGGCUCGCGUCUGAUUAGCUAGUUGGUAAGGUAACGGCCUACCAAGGCAACGAUCAGUAGCCGGACUGAGAGGUUGAACGGCCACAUUGGGACUGAGAUACGGCCCAGACUCCUACGGGAGGCAGCAGUGAGGAAUAUUGCGCAAUGGUCGCAAGACUGACGCAGCAACGCCGCGUGAGGGAUGAAGUACUUCGGUAUGUAAACCUCUGUUAGAAGGGAAGAACGGGUGGAUGUCGAACAGGCAUUCAUCGUGACGGUACCUUCAGAGAAAGCCCUGGCUAACUCCGUGCCAGCAGCCGCGGUAAA
RNAcentral lists this ribosomal RNA (493 nucleotides) under uncultured bacterium. Its description in RNAcentral is "bacterial SSU rRNA". It matches the Rfam family "Bacterial small subunit ribosomal RNA", at positions 29 to 524 of the family's 1533-position model. The record is from RNAcentral.